Molecule: long non-coding RNA, 1097 nt
Filed under: Marmota monax (woodchuck)
Lineage: Eukaryota; Metazoa; Chordata; Mammalia; Rodentia; Sciuridae
Source: RNAcentral
GUUUACUUGCUUUGGCCACUGUAGCCACCUUUGAAUUAUUGACAGAUCAAUCUAGACUCUAAAAGGGAAGGACCACAUUCAUUAUUGGAGCUUCAUCAUCCCUCACGUCUUUAUAUUUUGCAGUACUGGGAAUUAAACCCAGGGAUGCUGUACCACUGAGUUCCAUUCUCAGCCCUUUUUAUUUUUCUCUAUUUUGAGGGAGGGCUUCCUUAAAUUGUUAAGGCUGGCCCAGAACUUUCUUACCUCCUAACUCAGCCUCCCAAAUUUCUAAGAUUAUAGACAUGCACUACCAUUUCCUUUUUAUGUAGCAUUGAAUAGAAGUACUCCAAUAGAGGGUAUUCCUACUUACACAAGUCAGGUAAUUCAUUGACCAGAGGUAGUCAGGGAGAUAGGAAUUAUCCUAAUUUUGGAAACUCUCAAGCUUCCCAUAAUGCAUUUUGACUGUGGCCCAUCACAUGAGAUCAGGUGUGAAAUUUUCCACUUCACAGCAGCACUCAACAAGUUUCAGAUUUUGCAGUGUUUCAGAUUUUCAGAUUAGGAAUGCUCAACACAUACAGGGUUCCUAAAGUUAUAAAACCAUUGUUUUAAUGGAAAAAAAGGCAUGGAUUUGGCAAUAAUUUCUUGGAUAUGAUCCUGAAAGCAUAAAUGAAAAAAGAAAAAAAAUAAAAAUUUGCUUCAUCAGAAUCAAAAGCUUUUGUGAGUCAAACAGAAUGAGAGAAGAGAACUUGCAAAUUGUGUCUAGUAAGGGGUUAAUUUCUAAAAUGACUCAACCAUCAAAACCCAAAAAACCCAAUGCAAAUAUAGACUAAGGAUUUGAACAGAUAUUUCUUCAAAGAAGACACACAAUGGCCAACAAGUUCAUGAAAAAAAUGCUUCAUGCCACGCAACGCUCUGGAGGUGCAAUAUCAAAACCACAAUGAUAGCCCAUUUAACACCCAUUAGGACCUUUCUCAUCAACAGACAAAAUAACAAGUGUAAGUGAGAAAUUAGAAAUCUAGCACACUGCCAGGCAUGGAGGUGCCCGCCUACAAUGCCAGCUACCUGGGAGGCUGAGGCAGGAGGACAAUAAGUUUAAGGCCAGCUCAGAGACCCUCAGC